RNAcentral lists this ribosomal RNA (256 nucleotides) under uncultured bacterium. Its description in RNAcentral is "partial 16S ribosomal RNA". It matches the Rfam family "Bacterial small subunit ribosomal RNA", at positions 15 to 264 of the family's 1533-position model. The record is from RNAcentral.
GAUCCUGGCUCAGAUUGAACGCUGGCGGCAGGCCUAACACAUGCAAGUCGAACGGUAACAGGAAGAAGCUUGCUUCUUUGCUGACGAGUGGCGGACGGGUGAGUAAUGUCUGGGAAACUGCCUGAUGGAGGGGGAUAACUACUGGAAACGGUAGCUAAUACCGCAUAACGUCGCAAGACCAAAGAGGGGGGACCUUCGGGCCGUCUUGCCAUCGGAUGUGCCCACGAUGGGAUUAGCUUGUUGGUGGGGUAACGGG